Molecule: ribosomal RNA, 653 nt
Filed under: Streptomyces zaomyceticus
Lineage: Bacteria; Bacillati; Actinomycetota; Actinomycetes; Kitasatosporales; Streptomycetaceae
Description: bacterial SSU rRNA
Rfam family: Bacterial small subunit ribosomal RNA
Source: RNAcentral
CUUCGGGGUGGAUUAGUGGCGAACGGGUGAGUAACACGUGGGCAAUCUGCCCUUCACUCUGGGACAAGCCCUGGAAACGGGGUCUAAUACCGGAUAACACCGGCUUCCGCAUGGGAGCUGGUUGAAAGCUCCGGCGGUGAAGGAUGAGCCCGCGGCCUAUCAGCUUGUUGGUGGGGUAAUGGCCUACCAAGGCGACGACGGGUAGCCGGCCUGAGAGGGCGACCGGCCACACUGGGACUGAGACACGGCCCAGACUCCUACGGGAGGCAGCAGUGGGGAAUAUUGCACAAUGGGCGAAAGCCUGAUGCAGCGACGCCGCGUGAGGGAUGACGGCCUUCGGGUUGUAAACCUCUUUCAGCAGGGAAGAAGCGAAAGUGACGGUACCUGCAGAAGAAGCGCCGGCUAACUACGUGCCAGCAGCCGCGGUAAUACGUAGGGCGCAAGCGUUGUCCGGAAUUAUUGGGCGUAAAGAGCUCGUAGGCGGCUUGUCACGUCGGGUGUGAAAGCCCGGGGCUUAACCCCGGGUCUGCAUCCGAUACGGGCAGGCUAGAGUGUGGUAGGGGAGAUCGGAAUUCCUGGUGUAGCGGUGAAAUGCGCAGAUAUCAGAGGAACACCGGUGGCGAAAGGCGGAUCUCUGGGCCAUUACUGACGCU